This 469-nucleotide ribosomal RNA is filed under the name uncultured bacterium. RNAcentral describes it as "bacterial SSU rRNA". It matches the Rfam family "Bacterial small subunit ribosomal RNA", at positions 330 to 792 of the family's 1533-position model. The record is from RNAcentral.
UCCAGACUCCUACGGGAGGCAGCAGUGGGGAAUCUUCCGCAAUGGGCGAAAGCCUGACGGAGCAACGCCGCGUGAUCGAAUGAAGGCCUUCGGGUUGUAAAGAUCUGUUGACAGGGACGAAUAAGCAAUGCGAAUAGUUUUGUGUAUGACAGUACCUGUUUAGAAAGCUCCGGCUAACUACGUGCCAGCAGCCGCGGUAAUACGUAUGGUGCAAGCGUUAUCCGGAAUGACUGGGUGUAAAGGGAGCGUAGACGGUUGUACAAGUCUGAUGUGAAAGCCCACGGCUCAACUGUGGGAGUGCAUUGGAAACUGUAGAACUAGAGUAUCGGAGAGGCAAGUGGAAUUCCUAGUGUAGCGGUGAAAUGCGUAGAUAUUAGGAGGAACACCAGUGGCGAAGGCGGCUUGCUGGACGAAAACUGACGUUGAGGCUCGAAAGCGUGGGGAGCAAACAGGAUUAGAUACCCGGGUA